RNAcentral lists this ribosomal RNA (279 nucleotides) under uncultured bacterium. RNAcentral's name for it is "partial 16S ribosomal RNA". It matches the Rfam family "Bacterial small subunit ribosomal RNA", at positions 506 to 784 of the family's 1533-position model. The record is from RNAcentral.
UGCCAGCCGCCGCGGUAAUACGGAGGGUGCAAGCGUUAAUCGGAAUUACUGGGCGUAAAGAGCACGUAGGCGGCUAUUUAAGUCGGAUGUGAAAUCCCCGGGCUCAACCUGGGAAUGGCAUUCGAUACUGGGUAGCUAGAAUCUGAGAGAGGGAAGCGGAAUUUCCGGUGUAGCGGUGAAAUGCAUAGAGAUCGGAAGGAACAUCAGUGGCGAAGGCGGCUUCCUGGAUCAAGAUUGACGCUGAGGUGCGAAAGCGUGGGUAGCAAACAGGAUUAGAUA